Molecule: ribosomal RNA, 253 nt
Filed under: uncultured bacterium
Lineage: Bacteria
Description: partial 16S ribosomal RNA
Rfam family: Bacterial small subunit ribosomal RNA
Source: RNAcentral
UACAGAGGGUGCGAGCGUUAAUCGGAAUUACUGGGCGUAAAGCGCGCGUAGGCGGCUUUGCAAGUCGGGUGUGAAAUCCCCAAGCUUAACUUGGGAACUGCAUUCGAGACUGCAUUGCUAGAGUAUGGGAGAGGGAAGUGGAAUUUCCGGUGUAGCGGUGAAAUGCGUAGAUAUCGGAAGGAACAUCAGUGGCGAAAGCGGCUGACUGGACACAUAUUGACGCUGAGGCUCGAAAGCAUGGGGAGCAAACAGG